RNAcentral lists this ribosomal RNA (244 nucleotides) under uncultured bacterium. RNAcentral's name for it is "partial 16S ribosomal RNA". It matches the Rfam family "Bacterial small subunit ribosomal RNA", at positions 94 to 334 of the family's 1533-position model. The record is from RNAcentral.
CCCGGCGCACGGGUGAGUAACACGUAUGCAAUCCACCUGUAACAGGGGGAGUAACCCGGAGAAAUCCGGACUAAUACCCAUAAUAUGGGCGCUCCGCAUGGAGAGUCCAUUAAAGAGAGCAAUCUUGGUUACAGACGAGCAUGCGUUCCAUUAGAUAGUAGGCGGGGUAACGGCCCACCUAGUCUUCGAUGGAUAGGGGUUCUGAGAGGAAGGUCCCCCACAUUGGAACUGGGACACGGUCCAA